Molecule: long non-coding RNA, 203 nt
Filed under: Mytilus galloprovincialis (Mediterranean mussel)
Lineage: Eukaryota; Metazoa; Mollusca; Bivalvia; Mytilida; Mytilidae
Source: RNAcentral
AUUUUCAUUUUGCAUAUCAAAAAACGACAAAAACUGUUCAACAAUGAGCCCCUUAACUACAAUUUUAAUUAAAUCUGCAUGACCCUGGAAAUUUGACUUGACCUUUCCAGUCACAUCUGUUCUCCUCAACAAUGUUUUAAAAUAGGCCAACGUGCCUUGCUCUCUUGAUGACUUUCCGUCAUGUAAUUGCUUGUAUAACUUCU